This is a long non-coding RNA of Acyrthosiphon pisum (pea aphid), 5514 nucleotides long. RefSeq lists it as uncharacterized. The record is from RefSeq and is a predicted model, not a curated record. Lineage: Eukaryota; Metazoa; Arthropoda; Insecta; Hemiptera; Aphididae. The transcript has 2 exons.
AAAACUAAAAUAAAUAGUAAAAAAAAAAAACAGACCAUUAUAUUAUUAUCAUCUACCACCGACUACAUAAUAUAGGUAUAUAUAUACAUGUACACACGUAGUGAUGAUUUUAUUACGUGUGGCACCCCCACGCGCGUUCGCCAAUUUCAGAAAUUAACGCUCAUGGGGAUGGGGGCCCUCCCAUCACGAGCUGAUGCGUCUCGGAAUUUUUCCGACUUUUACCAAUCCAAUUAGGACGGUGAAGGAUUGUCGGGUCACCACAGGAGGUUGGCCGGUUACCUUCAUAUAUAUAAUGCGGACGACGAUUGUCUCUUCGUCUCAUCGUCCAUAAAGCAGGGUGCGCCCGACCACCCCCUCGGAGACGUUUUUACUUCGAAACACAAUAAUAAAUUUAGCGGCCUUUUAUACCCGUCGACUCUGCAAUGUCCCAAUACUCAUCUAUAUAAGUUAUUAUAAUAUAUUAUGUACAUAAACAAGCCCGCCUGUAGGUUAGGUACUACUGAAGUACCGCCGUACGCGCGCUUACAAGAUAUUGUAUUGUAUAUUUUGUUGUAGUGUUUUGCACCGUCUGGGUGGGGCCAUGUGUAUUUAACUUAUAUAUAUAUAUCAUACGGCUAUACCGCAUACCAGCAACAUACCACGAACACGGUUACGCGCACCACGUGCACCGCGGGUCGAAUCGGACGAAAAUGAUACGGAUAAUAUAUAGGUAUGUAUGUAAUAUUUUUUGUAAGACGCGUACUAUGCGCCCAUCAGCCUCACCCACGCGUACCUAUAAUAAUAUAUAAACAGACACGACCGAUUCGGUCGAUUACCCUCGAUUACACGAGGUCGAUUACGCCGAUGCGUUCUCACCCGAUCUCGUAUAUAAUUCGAUAAUCGUCUCAACAAUAAUAGUACGUUAACAUCAAAGUAACACUCGGUUAAAAUGUAUGUUAAGACCACUAAUAUAAAUUGGUAAGUGUUCACCAUAUUGCACAAUGUGGGGCCCGUUCAAAUGGCAAGGUCGUAGGUACACGACGUUUUUUAGUCGUAGAUCGUAACAUUUCCAUGCUAUUUGUAAAACAGGAUUUGAACGUUUAUUGGAAUCAGAGUUUUUAAACGAACAAAGGGAAGAUUUUCAAAAAAAAAAAUGUGCAAGUAUUUAUACUAUAAUAUAUUAUAUAAACUGAUAAACAUAACAAUUCUUAAGCUGAACUAAGACGUGUUAAAUUUAUUGAAAAAUCAAAAGGCAUAUUAUAUUAUACAGUAUUACAUACUAUACGUCUAUUCAUGACACAAUUUGGAUAACAUUGAAAUGAGUCUCCAGGCUACUUUUAGGUGUUUUACUUGAGUCCAAUUUAUUAUCUUAGUAUAUUUGAAUUGAGUCCGUUGAACCUUGGGCGGCGUGCGAUACUCAGCGAUAAGGUAUAUAUUCGUCAACGGAUCGGUGGUCUAUUAUGCUCGUUCAAAAUUACCGCGAUUGUGCCGAAUACUUUGCGAACACAUAAUUUAUCACGAGUGCGAAAUCAUAAAGAAUUAAAUUUAUUUGAAGAAAAUUAAAAUGUAAUAGAAAAAUUUUCACAUUUUUGUUUGAUUAAUUUUAUUUCAUAUAAUUUGAAAUUGUCACCACAUUAUGAUCAGCACCUCGGGUAACUUCCCCGGAUUUUUCCUCCUGAUCCAGUGCCCUUGAACAUGAUAUUGACCAACAAUAAUUUAUAUUACAUUUAAAUUAAUAAAAUAAAUAAUGCAAAAAAUAAUAGCUAAUUAUAGUCAAUUUAGUAGGUACCAAAUCGAUAUUGCUGGUGGCUUGAUGUGGCGCGGUCUGUACUCUCAACUGCGGACAUUUUCUGAGUGUACGUAUCGGUGAGUGUUGCUAGCUCCCGGAUGGGUGACCACCUCCGUGAUUUUUAGCUACAAAUCCUUGUCACACAAACAGACGUCUUUCAGCCGACCAUUCCUCUCCCCCCCCCCCUACAAACAAAAACAGCUAAUGGCCAUAGUUUCCGGGCUUAAGCUCAAUAAAAAAAAAAAAUAAAUAAAUAAUCGACAGUGACGUCCAACAACAAACAUUGUGACUGGGCGCGUUUUCUCCGCGGGAUCUCGACACAAAGUUUAAGCGUUUCCUUCUGCUCAGUGGCGGCGGUAAACAAUAUAUAAAUCAACGAUAUGUAUAUAGAUCCCAACGACGACGUUUGCACGCGCUCAUUUUGUGGAAAGCAAUAUUUUAGUCAGCCGAGCGGAACGCGAAAACGGUCGUGAUUGAUGACCUAGACCGUACAUCGUCAGCGGAAUAAAUAAAAACAAACAUCUUGCGAUCCCUUUGAUUGAACAGUGUGACGGAGAUAGACGGUACGUUUCGAUAUAAACACACACAUAUAUAUAUGUGCAUUGUGCAUCGUUUAUACAUUAUACGUGUGUAGUGCAGGGUAAAAAUUCGAAAAGUUUCGCCGAUUUAUAUAUAUAUAUCGACCUACCCGGCUAAUCUGGUCAUUUCGUUAACGUAUUUCUCUGUCGAUUCCCAAAUGUCGGUUUAGUGCGGUAUGUAUAUCGUGUAUAAUGCAUACUACGGAUAAAAAAAAAAAAUAAUAAAAACAAAUUCGUUCCAUUGUCGCGAAUGAAACUUUUAUACGGAUUCAUAAUACGAUUUUGAAGGGAUGACAAAUGAUAAAUCGAAACGAUCCCCUACAGUCACCGGAAGUCAAACUUCCUGGUAGUCCAACCGUCCCACCCCCACGCGGACAAUGAAACCUUUAGACAUCGUCUGCGCGUAACGUUUUUGGGGAACUUUUGAUAAAACGGAUCAACUCAACCCGUCGACGAUGUUUGACAACCAAAACAUAGCUAUACCAUAAUAUUAUAAUGUACAUAGUACAUACCUGCAAAUAUGACUAUUGGUAUAACCUAUGACGUAUCUGAUCAAACGCAUAUUUUGACGUAAAAUACAAAUUUUACAAUUUCGACGUAAUAUGUAAUAUGUGUAUCAAGUAAAAACCAUGAACAUAAAUACCGCAAAAUUCCACACCGACAACGACUAUAUAGGCUAAAAGCGUAUAGUUUUAUUUAUACUUUACAUGGGGGUAGACAUAGUUACAUUCAGUACUGAGUAUAGGUUCUGAAUGUUGUACUGUUAAAAGACGAAUUUUUAUUAUUAUAAUUAUAAGUUGAAUUGAAGUGAAUUUCUAGAGUUAUCUACCUACUAUCUGGCAAAAAAAUCUGUUUUACGUCUCAUAAUUACUAAUAACGAUACUAUUGCAUUACCUUUUUUAUUUUCUCAACCUCUGAACGGGAUAUAUACUUAUUGAAAUACCAUUAACUAUAUAUCGUUUCGAUUUCAGUUUUGACCGAACCCACUGCUCGAGUCCGUAAAAUAAAACCCAUAUAAUUUGAGGUUUUCAAAAAUGUACUUGAACGCUCCUAGAGACGUAAUCGGGGGCGGAAUUCAGUGCGUAUCCAUUAUAAUAACAACAAUAACGAUAAAUACGUCCUUUUGAAAAUACAAUAUUUAUUAUUUUUAGUACCCUUUAGCAUCAGAGUGACCUAAAUAAUAGUAUUACGAGAACAAUGCGUGGAUUACUUUGGUUUUACAAACUGCAGCUAAUAAUCAAUUAUCACACCGGGAUAUUAUACUUAUCUAGAUACAUGUAGACAAUUUACUGUCGUUUUUAUGUUUUUAUUCUCCUAUUACGUCGGUGCGCAUACCUUCUAAUUAUUUAGUCCUUUUAUUAUUUAUUAGUUAAAAUACACAUAUAUAUAUAUAUAUACAUAUGUGUGUGUGUGUGUGCGUAUGUUUUUUUAGAUGUUACUCUCCCACGUCUUUAUCUGGUCCGGACCGUCGUCUUCGUCGUAAUAACAGUAAUAACAGAACGGAAUCCCAACAGAACGGGAUGUCAGAAAGUAUAUGGUCCGUUCGCAGCAGCUAUAGCACCUGUACGCUUACCUGGCCGUCAAUGGGUUUCAUUGCAACACACACAUACUCAACACUCGACAUUCAAAACUCAUGAACACGUUACGAUGAUAAUUUACCCUUCUCUGGCGGAAACGGGAUGAAAAAAUCCCAAAAUCUCAACCCCCCCUCAUGAUCACGGAAUUGCAUCCAGAACGUUUCGUGGUAAGAAUACCAUUACAUACAUUACAAUCGUAUGCCGCCACCUAGCCUCAUCGAGUCAGCCAUCGUCGCGGGAAAUGCACAGUUUUCAUUUUCACCACGCAUACGGUUUUCACUAUUUACUUGUAAUUUCUUAACAAACAUACAUUCCUAUUCUUAUCAAAGGCACAAUAUAUUAUCAGAUUUUAAUUUUUAAAUAAAUAUUUAGAUGUAUAUUUAAAGGUAACUAGUACUAUAUUUAGGUGGCUUCUUCCCUCGCGAUUUUCAUGUACAUAACUUAUUAAAUUAGUUCGCAUAUUUUCAUCGUUUUCGAAUAUUGCGUCGGAUAAAAGUUACUUAAGUUCCAAAUAUAAUAUUAAUAUGAUAUAGAGAGUUGUUGAGUAUAUGAACCAAUUAUAAUUGUAAUAUUAUACUGUUUUUGCAAUAAUCACAAUAGAGGCUAGAGAGAUAUUAUUGUGCGAUUUGUUAUGUGCUACCGAAUAUACGACGACAAGAAGUGAAGAUAGUUUAAUUCGACGACAAACUGCUCAAAAAAGUUCUUAUACAACAACAAUAAUAACGACUUUAUAACAAAACAAUACAAUUAUUGUACAAACAAAUACGAUAUGUACACGAGGAUCACAAAACAUCCCUUAUACUUUUACAGUUUUACCCAAACAAGUAUUAAAGCUGAGUAUCACGUACUAUGACAUAUUAUAUUAUAUUAUUAUAAUAAUUUUACAAUUCCUCAAAGUAAUAAGACUGAUCGUGAAAACUCGAUAUAUUUAUAUGGUAUAAGUAUACAAAUUUAAUCAUGUUUCGAAUGAAUAAUAAACGCGAGUCGUAAUAAUAUAAUCACGAUUGAUCACUUAUAGUCGCACGAUUUAUGUACGUAGAUGGUAUACGGCUUUCGAAAAUGUCAAUUCACGUACAUUCUUGGCCGGAACGAGAUUAUUCAUUUUUAAUAAAUCGUCCAAAUAGCAUCGAAAAACGAACGUGACCCACGACGAUUAAUACUGUUGAUUUUCGCAAACCUCGUUCAGUUUUCACAAUAAUACGUCUUGUUGUCUAUUGUCAUGCUAUAUUCGCAGUAAGCAUCAAACUUUUUUGACAGCACCCGUCUCGCCCAAGAAUGCAGCACGCGAUUCACGUCAUACAGGUAGUCGUACGAAAAACCGGAUCGGGCCCAUCAUGUGUAGUUGCGACGACGACCGAUCGUAACAGAGCAAAAACGGUAAAAAAAAAAAUAAAUAUAAAUAAAAAAAUAUAAAACAGAAAUAACACUAUCGUGUCAUAUUAUUAUAGAAGAAACGGCGUCGAAGACGACUGCUAGCCACUGCAGCUAUAUUCUGAUACUAAUGGCAAGCAUACAUAUAGGUAUAUGUAAAAGUGUAUGUGUACAGGUAUAUAUUAUUAUUAUUUAUUUUUUUUUUUGGAGAGCUGAAAGC